GUCUAUGGCAAUACCACCCUUAAUGUGCCAGAUCUCGCCUGACCUGAGAAGCUAAGCAGGAGCAGGUUAGUUAGUACGAGCCAGGUCAGAGCUGAUUAGCACUUGGAUGGGAGAAAUACCACCAAAGUAA
RNAcentral lists this ribosomal RNA (130 nucleotides) under Echinops telfairi (small Madagascar hedgehog). Lineage: Eukaryota; Metazoa; Chordata; Mammalia; Afrosoricida; Tenrecidae. The record is from RNAcentral.